CAGUCGAGGGGUAUUAGUUUUCGGACUAAGAGACCGGCGCACGGGUGCGUAACGCGUAUGCAAUCUACCUUUUACAGAGGGAUAGCCCAGAGAAAUUUGGAUUAAUACCUCAUAGUAUUAUGAAGUGGCAUCACUUUAUAAUUAAAGUCACAACGGUAAAAGAUGAGCAUGCGUCCCAUUAGCUAGUUGGUAAGGUAACGGCUUACCAAGGCUACGAUGGGUAGGGGUCCUGAGAGGGAGAUCCCCCACACUGGUACUGAGACACGGACCAGACUCCUACGGGAGGCAGCAGUGAGGAAUAUUGGACAAUGGGCGCAAGCCUGAUCCAGCCAUGCCGCGUGCAGGAUGACGGUCCUAUGGAUUGUAAACUGCUUUUGUACAGGAAGAAACACUGGUUCGUGAACCAGCUUGACGGUACUGUAAGAAUAAGGAUCGGCUAACUCCGUGCCAGCAGCCGCGGUAAUACGGAGGAUCCAAGCGUUAUCCGGAAUCAUUGGGUUUAAAGGGUCCGUAGGCGGUUUAGUAAGUCAGUGGUGAAAGCCCAUCGCUCAACGGUGGAACGGCCAUUGAUACUGCUAGACUUGAAUUAUUAGGAAGUAACUAGAAUAUGUAGUGUAGCGGUGAAAUGCUUAGAGAUUACAUGGAAUACCAAUUGCGAAGGCAGGUUACUACUAAUGGAUUGACGCUGAUGGACGAAAGCGUGGGUAGCGAACAGGAUUAGAUACCCUGGUAGUCCACGCCGUAAACGAUGGAUACUAGCUGUUGGAAGCAAUUUCAGUGGCUAAGCGAAAGUGAUAAGUAUCCCACCUGGGGAGUACGUUCGCAAGAAUGAAACUCAAAGGAAUUG
Molecule: ribosomal RNA, 847 nt
Filed under: uncultured bacterium
Lineage: Bacteria
Description: bacterial SSU rRNA
Rfam family: Bacterial small subunit ribosomal RNA
Source: RNAcentral